ACGAACGCUGGCGGCGUGCUUAACACCUGCCAGUCGCACGGAAAGGCCCUGCUUUUGUGGGGUGCUCGAGUGGCGAACGGGUGAGUAACACGUGAGUAACCUGCCCUUGACUUUGGGAUAACUUCAGGAAACUGGGGCUAAUACCGGAUAGGAGCUCCUGCUGCAUGGUGGGGGUUGGAAAGUUUCGGCGGUUGGGGAUGGACUCGCGGCUUAUCAGCUUGUUGGUGGGGUAGUGGCUUACCAAGGCUUUGACGGGUAGCCGGCCUGAGAGGGUGGCCGGCCACAUUGGGACUGAGAUACGGCCCAGACUCCUACGGGAGGCAGCAGUGGGGAAUAUUGCACAAUGGGCGGAAGCCUGAUGCAGCAACGCCGCGUGCGGGAUGACGGCCUUCGGGUUGUAAACCGCUUUCGCCUGUGACGAAGCGUGAGUGACGGUAAUGGGUAAAGAAGCACCGGCUAACUACGU
This 466-nucleotide ribosomal RNA is filed under the name uncultured bacterium. Its description in RNAcentral is "partial 16S ribosomal RNA". It matches the Rfam family "Bacterial small subunit ribosomal RNA", at positions 29 to 506 of the family's 1533-position model. The record is from RNAcentral.